UUUAGUUUAUUGGUUUAAUAUUUCGAGGACGACAAAAAAAUGCAAAUGGUUUUUUUAAUGUUUCAUGACAAAAGUCCUCCGAUUUUAUUUGUAUAAAAUAAACUUGUAUUUCAAUUUUAUAUAUUUGUGCUUCUUAGGCCUUUAAUGGUUCGUACAGUUACUGUACGAUAUGAUAAAGGGCAUAUCAGCAGAAUAGUGGAGAUAAUACAAUCGAGAAGCCCAUUUCGCUCCCUUCUUGGACAUCCUGCUAAACGAGUCCACGCAAGGAAACAGAGCCAUUAUAUAGGGAGGAGGAGCCAUCACCAGUCAUUGCCAAGAUGCUGGGCAACUUCAUGCAGCAUCAGCGGAACAACCCCGUCCCGAAACCCGCUUCCACUGACUCAUGGCCCAUGUUGGCGUAUUGCGAAUCGGAGUUGGACUGCAGUUGGCGCGGAGAAGAUUGCGAAGCAUCAGCGACUC
Molecule: non-coding RNA, 459 nt
Organism: Drosophila suzukii
Lineage: Eukaryota; Metazoa; Arthropoda; Insecta; Diptera; Drosophilidae
Source: RefSeq, a predicted model, not a curated record